GCUUCUCUCUUCCUCUUACUCUUUCAUUGCCAUUGACGCGAAACUACAAACCCGACAAUUCCUCGCCUGAUUUGUUUUCUGAAUCACUUGGCGGCGAAUCCGUAUUUUCUUUCAAUGUCAUGAAGAUCCUCAAUUUGUAAAUAUCAGGAGAAUAACUAAUUGCACCAUGCCAUUGCAAAGGCACUCAGAAGUAUGUUCAUAGGUCAUGCCUUGAUAACUGGAGGUCAACGAAGAUUCCAAACAUGUCAGCUACAAUGUCUUCUCAGCCACUUGUACCAUGAACGCAGGUAUAUGCUUUUGCAAUUUUAUCUUCCUUUGCCUUUUGGCAACUAAGCAAAUAACUAAGAGAGAGAGAGGACGGGGAGAGAAGGGGGCGGGAGGAGGGGAGUUGGAGCUUGUUAAGAUGUCACUGCAUCUUGUAUUUACCACGAACAUAUGAAAGAUCUUGAUCCACUAAAAUUUGACCCUGAGUCUCUGAUAAAUGAGAAGCAACUAAUAAUAUGGUGGAUUUUUUCUUGCACUGAAUCCUGAAUGGGAGAUAUGGUUAAUUGUGGUAUAGAUGAAUCCUAUAAAAUUUAUAAUCUGCUUUUCCAUUGUGGUUUAAUAUGUUAUUUUUUGUGUACCAUACAUUUGAGAGUUCUCAAUGAUGUAACAACUUAUUUUUACACGCUCAAUAUAUCAUGCUGUUUGGAUUAA
Molecule: long non-coding RNA, 696 nt
Organism: Hevea brasiliensis (rubber tree)
Lineage: Eukaryota; Viridiplantae; Streptophyta; Magnoliopsida; Malpighiales; Euphorbiaceae
Exons: 3
Source: RefSeq, a predicted model, not a curated record